Molecule: ribosomal RNA, 888 nt
Filed under: Triticum aestivum (bread wheat)
Lineage: Eukaryota; Viridiplantae; Streptophyta; Magnoliopsida; Poales; Poaceae
Description: partial small subunit ribosomal RNA
Source: RNAcentral
AUGGUCCAUUAUGUUCCACUGGCUCUGAUCUCAGUUAAAAGUUACCUGCAAUUUUUAUCCUUAUUUUAUUUAUUCGUAAGGUAUCUGACAAAUGUGUUUGUGUGCGUGCAAACGAGCACCUCCGCAGGCCUGGACCGGAUCCUGCCGUGGCUCUUCUACCACAAGGUCAUCCGCGUCGCACACUUUUUGCUCUUUGUCGAGGGCAAGGCCGCCAAGCCCAGCGUCGUCAGGGUCCUCGAGUCCAUCCCCGGUGUGAAGGUGGUGUACAUGACCAAGGAGCUUGAGGAGCAGCAGGCCAGGUGCCGAAUCUGGAACGAAACCUGGCUCGCAGGAUUCUUCUACAAGCCUUGCAACCACAAACUGUUUUUGAAGCAAGCACUCAACAUGGAGAUGGCCAUUGUGAUGGCCCGGGAAUCUGGCAUGGAUUGGAUAAUGCAUCUAGACACCGAUGAAUGCCUGUUAGCUGACGUCCCCGAUGAUGUUGACAUGGUUAUUUUUCCUAACUAUGAAAGCAGCGUCGAGCGUGAUGAUAUAGAAGAUCCAUUCAGUGAGGAUUGCGUCCACGGCACGGUUUUUUUUGUCCCACCACUUUCGUCCGGUUUUUUUCGUCCCACCUCCCACCACCACCUGCAUUUUAUUAUCUUUACAAAAUAUUACAGAAGAAAAAAAACCGGUUCCCUGCCUUCGCCUCUGCCAUCACGGAAGCCGAGGGCACGCUGCCGCCUCUAUAACUACAUUUUGAAGUUAGUAUACAUUCAUUCUGUAAUGCUAACACAUCUUGUUACUCUUUCUUCAAUUUCGCUAGGUUUACGACAGUUCCAUUCAAGCACAAAUAUGUUUAUGACACUAAUUCAAAGUUGUAAAAUACAUAUAUUUAUAAUAGUUUAA